Molecule: long non-coding RNA, 902 nt
Organism: Mustela lutreola (European mink)
Lineage: Eukaryota; Metazoa; Chordata; Mammalia; Carnivora; Mustelidae
Exons: 2
Source: RefSeq, a predicted model, not a curated record
UCAAGUCGGGAGCUCGGUCCCCGCGCCCCGCAGCCCGCCGCGUCGAGGUACGGCCUGGCGAGCUGGGCGGCCCGGAGCCGGCUCCCAGUGCCCUCCCGCGGCAGGGCCAGGAGCCCCGGGACAGUCCCUGAGCAGGGCACCCUGCAUGGGGACACGAAGUCGCGCGGGUCCCAGCACCCAGGAGCCGCCCAUCUCCACCUUCAUCCCCCCGCCCUCCCCGGGCCGGCCCUCCAGUAGGUUCGAGAGAAAGUGACCCAGAGUUUCAGAACCCCCCACCCACCUCCCCCGCCGUCCUGGGGCUGAAUCCAAGACACACACGCCUUGUUUUCCACAUUCCCGGCUCUACCCGGGCCUGGGGUACGUGAGCGCACAGCGGCACGCACCCCUAGGUCCCCCGGGGUGCCUUUGCUUUCAAGAAGGUGCAAGGUGGAAUGAGACGCCUGGCCUCACCGUCCCUGAGCUUUCCCGGUGGACCCCAGGCCGCUGAGCCGGGUUCCCCGAAGCAGCGCUCAGGGAGCGGUCAGGCAGCACUCGCGCCUGGAGGUCUCCCGUGCACACCCUAGCGGGGACCCUCCCCUCCCCGCCCCAGAUCUUUGGGCUGGUCGGUGGCCCCGUCCCCUCCUAAUGAGAACGAGGGCCAUGCCUCAGCCGGGGCUGGCUGGUGACGGGUUACUGAACUGUUAAAUAACUGUCAGUAAGCAGUCAGGGGGUUUUGGGGAAAAAAAAAAAAAUCUCAUUUUUCUCACUUCUGUAAUGACUUUAAUUACGUUCCGCUGCGCUCUCCAAAAAGCGACAGGUUGUGUUUGACAGGCUGUCGGUCCUCUAGCUCCUUCAAAGGGUUCUCGUUUACACGUCAGCCUGCCGGGAGGCGUCUUUGCUUGUCUUGUAAUCAGCCUCCCUGA